This 537-nucleotide long non-coding RNA is filed under the name Olea europaea (common olive). Its description in RNAcentral is "long non-coding RNA (OEUR_LNC010536)". The record is from RNAcentral. Lineage: Eukaryota; Viridiplantae; Streptophyta; Magnoliopsida; Lamiales; Oleaceae.
AAUCAAACACACCUAAUUUCAUUUCAAUUCUAAUUGGAAACACUCAAUUCUUCCCAGCAGCUGACGGCAACGGUGAUGGAGGAGCAAUUAUAGAUCCAUCUUAGAGGGCCGAAGGCAGUGGGAAUAAUAACGGUGCGUUGGGGUGAAGAAACCGUCAGCUAAGGACCACCAUAGCAAGGUUGACACAAAGAUCGUCGUAUUUGCAUGCCUAUUAUCUGCGCCCCUAGGCAUGGAGUGAAUUCGAGAGCUGCGUUUGGUCUUCAACUUCAACUUUCCCUAGCCCACCGCCACCCACUGCCGCUCUAAAAUCAAUCCAUCUACCUAUGUUUAUUUUGUGUAUUUGCUUUCCAAUCACAAUCCAUUUAGCAUUUUUAUCUUUUUGUUUGGCCGAAUAGCUUUAUUUGUGUAUUAGUGUUAAAUUUUUAAAUUUGAUUUGGGAUGAUUUUUUGGUUCUUUACGUGGAAUUUUUGUUUAUUUACUUUUUCAUAUUGGGGAUAAUAUGUGGGUUUUUAAUGAAGAGAAAGAGUAUGUUAUAUC